Molecule: ribosomal RNA, 510 nt
Filed under: uncultured bacterium
Lineage: Bacteria
Description: bacterial SSU rRNA
Rfam family: Bacterial small subunit ribosomal RNA
Source: RNAcentral
GAUCAUGGCUCAGAACGAACGCUGGCGGCGCGUUUAAGCAUGCAAGCGAGCGGCAAGGGCCUCGGGCCCUAGAGCGGCGGACGGGUGAGUAACACGUGGACAAUCUGCCCCCCGGCCCGGGAUAGCCCAGGGAAACCUGGAUUAAUACCGGAUGAGACGGGACCCGCGAAGGCGGGACCCGGGAAAGGCGCUGCGGCGCCGCCGGGGGAUGAGUCUGCGUCCCAUUAGCUAGACGGCGGGGUAACGGCCCACCGUGGCGACGAUGGGUAGCCGGCCUGAGAGGGUGGACGGCCACAUUGGAACUGAGACACGGUCCAGACUCCUACGGGAGGCAGCAGUAGGGAAUCUUCCGCAAUGGACGAAAGUCUGACGGAGCAACGCCGCGUGAGUGAAAGAAGGUUUUCGGAUCGUAAAACUCUGUUGUCAGAGAAGAACAAGUUGGAGAGUAACUGCUCCAGCCUUGACGGUAUCUGACCAGAAAGCCACGGCUAACUACGUGCCAGCCGCCGC